AAUGCCCCUCGAGGCGUUGCAGCCCAACUGUGAGUGUUGCGGCUGUGUCAUGAGGCGGCAGAGAGCGAGCGGUGGUCGGUCUGCACCGGGACUCCACGCCUUCGAGGACCGGGGUGAUUCCAACCACCGAUAAA
Molecule: small nucleolar RNA, 134 nt
Organism: Cololabis saira (Pacific saury)
Lineage: Eukaryota; Metazoa; Chordata; Actinopteri; Beloniformes; Belonidae
Product: small nucleolar RNA SNORA17
Exons: 1
Source: RefSeq, a predicted model, not a curated record